UGAGGAAUCUUCCACAAUGGGCGAAAGCCUGAUGGAGCAACGCCGCGUGCAGGAUGAAGGCCUUAGGGUUGUAAACUGCUUUUAUGAGUGAAGAAUAUGACGGUAACUCAUGAAUAAGCACCGGCUAACUACGUGCCAGCAGCCGCGGUCAUACGUAGGGUGCAAGCAUUAUCCGGAGUGACUGGGCGUAAAGAGUUGCGUAGGUGGUUUAUUAAGUGAAUAGUGAAAGCUGGAGGCUCAACCUUACAGACUAUUAUUCAAACUGGUAAGCUCGAGAGUAGUAGAGGUAACUGGAAUUUCUUGUGUAGGAGUGAAAUCCGUAGAUAUAAGAAGGAACACCAAUGGCGUAGGCAGGUUACUGGACUAUCUCUGACACUGAGGCACGAAAGCGUGGGGAGCG
RNAcentral lists this ribosomal RNA (400 nucleotides) under uncultured bacterium. RNAcentral's name for it is "bacterial SSU rRNA". It matches the Rfam family "Bacterial small subunit ribosomal RNA", at positions 355 to 770 of the family's 1533-position model. The record is from RNAcentral.